Molecule: transfer RNA, 72 nt
Filed under: Crematogaster teranishii
Lineage: Eukaryota; Metazoa; Arthropoda; Insecta; Hymenoptera; Formicidae
Description: tRNA-Val
Source: RNAcentral
AAUAAAUUAGUUUAUGUUAUAAAAUAUUUUAUUUACAAUAAAAAGAUUUUUACUUAUAAAAAAAAUUUAUUA